Molecule: long non-coding RNA, 724 nt
Organism: Panicum virgatum (switchgrass)
Lineage: Eukaryota; Viridiplantae; Streptophyta; Magnoliopsida; Poales; Poaceae
Exons: 3
Source: RefSeq, a predicted model, not a curated record
AUUGCUGAGGUCUUUCUUUUUAUUUUACCAUCGGUUUCAGGGGAUAUAUACCUCCAGAGUGUUUUGAAAGCAGCAUUAUAUCAAUGAUGAACAAUGUGUACGCUUUUGGAGUCACUGUCAUUAAUACCAUUAGCAUUAUGUGCAGAAAUAUACAGCCUUACGAGCGCCUUUUAUGUGCAUGGGCUUGGGACGCUUGGGAAGCUAGACAAAUGGAGGAGGUGUUUGAUCCAAAGCUGUAUGAAGGGUCUCAGCUAAGGGAGAUUAAAAGGUGCGUGAAGGUGGGACUAUUGUGCCUUCAGAGUGAUCGGGCAGACCGGCCCACCAUGGCAGAUGUUCUUGAGAUGCUACAUGGCAAGAAACGGCUGCCGAUACUAAAGAAACCUGCAUACAUGGAAUCGGAAUCGGACAUUGAAUCGGUUACAGAAGGAUCAUGCAACAGUGUGGACUGAAGACGAAAGACUUUUACAGCAGUAGACACUUCAAGUGUCUCUGUAUGGCAAGAAAUUAUGAAGAUACACAGGAAAAUGAUUGAUUCAGAAGAUGAGGUUAUUGCAGACUUGGCAAUACUGAAAUGAGUUCGUUGAAUGUUGAAGCUGAAAGCACAUGGCAAGGGGACAUGACAUACAUAUGUAGCUCUACUGUACAGUCAGCAUUCCAAACAAACAUCAGUACUGAAUUAUUCAGUGAUUCAGUCCAUUCUACAGAACUAGACAUCCUUUUGCAU